GCUUAACCGGAGAAGUGCAUCGGAAACUGGGAGACUUGAGUGCAGAAGAGGACAGUGGAACUCCAUGUGUAGCGGUGGAAUGCGUAGAUAUAUGGAAGAACACCAGUGGCGAAGGCGGCUGUCUAGUCUGUAACUGACGCUGAGGCUCGAAAGCAUGGGUAGCGAACAGGAUUAGAUACCCUGGUAGUCCAUGCCGUAAACGAUGAGUGCUAAGUGUUGGAGGGUUUCCGCCCUUCAGUGCUGCAGCUAACGCAUUAAGCACUCCGCCUGGGGAGUACGACCGCAAGGUUGAAACUCAAAGGAAUUGACGGGGGCCCGCACAAGCGGUGGAGCAUGUGGUUUAAUUCGAAGCUACGCGAAGAACCUUACCAGGUCUUGACAUCUUCUGCCAAUCUUAGAGAUAAGACGUUCCCUUCGGGGACAGAAUGACAGGUGGUGCAUGGUUGUCGUCAGCUCGUGUCGUGAGAUGUUGGGUUAAGUCCCGCAACGAGCGCAACCCUUAUUAUCAGUUGCCAGCAUUCAGUUGGGCACUCUGGUGAGACUGCCGGUGACAAACCGGAGGAAGGUGGGGAUGACGUCAAAUCAUCAUGCCCCUUAUGACCUGGGCUACACACGUGCUACAAUGGACGAUACAACG
RNAcentral lists this ribosomal RNA (637 nucleotides) under uncultured bacterium. Its description in RNAcentral is "bacterial SSU rRNA". It matches the Rfam family "Bacterial small subunit ribosomal RNA", at positions 607 to 1244 of the family's 1533-position model. The record is from RNAcentral.